RNAcentral lists this ribosomal RNA (465 nucleotides) under uncultured bacterium. RNAcentral describes it as "partial 16S ribosomal RNA". It matches the Rfam family "Bacterial small subunit ribosomal RNA", at positions 338 to 795 of the family's 1533-position model. The record is from RNAcentral.
CCUACGGGGGGCAGCAGUGGGGAAUAUUGCGCAAUGGGCGAAAGCCUGACGCAGCGACGCCGCGUGAGGGAUGAAGGUCUUCGGAUCGUAAAACUCUGUCAGCAGGGAAGAAAAGUCACUGUCCUAAUCAGCAGUGAAUUGACGGUACCUGCAAAGGCAGCACCGGCGAACUCCGUGCCAGCAGCUGCGGCAGUACGGAGGGUGCGAGCGUUAAUCGGAAUUACUGGGCGUAAAGCGAUCGUAGGCGGUAUGUCAAGUCAAGGGUGAAAUCCCCGCGCUCAACGUGGGAACUGCGUUUGAAACUGGCAAACUGGAGUGUGUGGGAGGAUAGUGGAAUUCCAGGUGUAGGAGUGAAAUCCGUAGAUAUCUGGAGGAACAUCAGUGGCGAAGGCGACUAUCUGGCACGUAACUGACGCUGAGGCGCGAAGGCGUGGGUAGCAAACAGGAUUAGAUACCCGAGUAGUC